This is a long non-coding RNA of Mauremys reevesii (Reeves's turtle), 495 nucleotides long. RefSeq lists it as uncharacterized. The record is from RefSeq and is a predicted model, not a curated record. The transcript is spliced from 3 exons. Lineage: Eukaryota; Metazoa; Chordata; Testudines; Geoemydidae.
UGGAGGGGGAGGAGCCCUUCAUUGAACCCUGGUGGGCGGAGCCACACCAUGCUAAUCCUCCCGCCGGAAGUUAGUGGGCAGGACCGGAAGUACAAAAGGCGGGCUGGAGCACUCAGCUGGGAGGUAGCUGCCAGAGAAGCCAGAUGCCUCCUGUGAGCUCCGGAGCUGGGAGGCUGCUGCAGGACUGGCCAGGGCCAUUUACAGACCCGAGCAGGGAGGAGCUGCAAGCGCUGACAGAGGCCUUCUUCCCGGAUGACCCUCUACAGAGCCAGGCCCGAGCUCACGACUCCCGUCACCCCACUGAUUCUCCACGUCAGGUGACCCCCCCCCCCAAAGAGAUGUAGUGGGGCAGCUUGGCCGCCCACAGACCCAGACGGGGAGGAGCCACUCCCCUCAAUGGACUACAGAGAUGUAGAGUCUACUUAUGAGGAGAAGUCAGCAGAUAAUCCAAGAUGGUUGACAGUGGAGACGAUUCCGUGGAGAUGCACAAGGGAG